This 835-nucleotide long non-coding RNA is filed under the name Triticum aestivum (bread wheat). Its description in RNAcentral is "long non-coding RNA (TAES_LNC021108)". Lineage: Eukaryota; Viridiplantae; Streptophyta; Magnoliopsida; Poales; Poaceae. The record is from RNAcentral.
UUCUUUUUCUUCUUCUUUGUUUUCUUUACGGGGAGCUAGUACUUGUUCUUGCAAAACAGAAUACAAAACACAUGAGUGAAGAGAUUUGCGCCGCGCGAACUUGUCGUGGCAGCUUUUCUUCUCAUUCCAGUAUUCAUUCAAGGUACAAGGAGUAAGAGCUUCAUCGGCCGGUGCAGGCUCCAUGGCCCAUCGACAGCGAUAUCGGCGUCACAGUCCUUGAGAGCACAAUCAAUCACAGCGAUAUCAGCAUUUGCCAUCCAUCGUGUAAAAGAUCCGGAGCAACGGGAAGGGAAGUUUGUGCGAGCAAGUUUCACGGAAACAAAGGUAGGGCAUGAACGCGCAGAUCGGAUAAGGCUAAGCGGCAAAAGCGGUGCGUGGGCUGUGUGGGCCAGCACAAGGACGCGUGGCACGUAUACGAGACGGCUUACACCGAAUUAAAAUCAGUCGGGCAAAUUCAAGACUUUUCCAAUCUUUAUGGGUAAUGCAAACUCUAUGAAAGAAAUCCCAGCUCCAUGCAUAGCAUCAGAACUAAGAAAAAACAAAACUGAUUUUGUGAGAGAAUAAUCAAACGAGAUCAGAUUCACGCAGGCACUUGAAACCAGUACUUGUUCUUUUUCUUCUUCUUUGUUUUCUUUACGGGGAGCUAGUACUUGUUCUUGCAAAACAGAAUACAAAACACAUGAGUGAAGAGAUUUGCGCCGCGCGAACUUGUCGUGGCAGCUUUUCUUCUCAUUCCAGUAUUCAUUCAAGGUACAAGGAGUAAGAGCUUCAUCGGCCGGUGCAGGCUCCAUGGCCCAUCGACAGCGAUAUCGGCGUCACAGUCCUUGAGAGCACA